Molecule: ribosomal RNA, 253 nt
Filed under: uncultured bacterium
Lineage: Bacteria
Description: partial 16S ribosomal RNA
Rfam family: Bacterial small subunit ribosomal RNA
Source: RNAcentral
UACGUAGGGUGCAAGCGUUGUUCGGAAUUACUGGGCGUAAAGGGCUCGUAGGCGGUCUGUCGCGUCGGGAGUGAAAACUCAGGGCUUAACCCUGAGCCUGCUUCCGAUACGGGCAGACUAGAGGUAUGCAGGGGAGAACGGAAUUCCUGGUGUAGCGGUGAAAUGCGCAGAUAUCAGGAGGAACACCGGUGGCGAAGGCGGUUCUCUGGGCAUUACCUGACGCUGAGGAGCGAAAGUGUGGGGAGCGAACAGG